Poecile atricapillus (Black-capped chickadee) is the source of this 441-nucleotide long non-coding RNA. RefSeq lists it as uncharacterized. Lineage: Eukaryota; Metazoa; Chordata; Aves; Passeriformes; Paridae. The transcript is spliced from 3 exons. The record is from RefSeq and is a predicted model, not a curated record.
ACCUGCUCUGGACUGGGGACUCAGGGGAGCACCGGGAGCUUGCACCCAUGGACUACCGUGAGCCUAGUCUGGGCAGCAGCAUUUUCCAGCACCAGAGGGAUUGAUAACAGAGAGAACAUCCACAGGAGAAAGACCCUCUGAAUUUGUCAUCUCUUCAGAGCGAUACACCUAAUACAGUCUUCUUGGAGCAAUUAGCCAAAAGGAAGGGAUCGGAAAAGAAACAUCCAAAGAAGAACAUCAGCACCAUCAUCAUCACCAACAGCUUUUGCAGCCCUGGAGAACAGAACUCCAAGCCAAGAAGCUGCUACCCUGAACAUCAGGACCUUAUACUAGAGAGCUGCUGCUCAGAACUCGGGACUUUAUGCCAAAGCUUUUUGUAAGGACUUUAACUUUCUAAACUCUUUGCCUUUGAGACUGAUACUUUUAUACAAUAAAUACCUU